RNAcentral lists this ribosomal RNA (392 nucleotides) under uncultured bacterium. RNAcentral's name for it is "partial 16S ribosomal RNA". It matches the Rfam family "Bacterial small subunit ribosomal RNA", at positions 523 to 918 of the family's 1533-position model. The record is from RNAcentral.
AUACGGAGGAUCCGAGCGUUAUCCGGAUUUAUUGGGUUUAAAGGGUGCGCAGGCGGCCAUUUAAGUCAGCGGUUAAAUCGUGGGGCUCAACCCCAUUCUGCCGUUGAUACUGGGUGGCUUGAUUGCGGUCGAGGUUGGCGGAAUUCGUUGUGUAGCGGUGAAAUGCAUAGAUAUGACGAAGAACACCGAUUGCGUAGGCAGCUGACCAGACCGCAAAUGACGCGCAUGCACGAAAGUGCGGGGAUCGAACAGGAUUAGAUACCCUGGUAGUCCGCACAGUAAACGAUGAAUACUUGUUUUCGGCGAUAUAAUGUCGGAGGCAAAGCGAAAGCGAUAAGUAUUCCACCUGGGGAGUACGCCGGCAACGGUGAAACUUAAAGGAAUUGACGGGG